Long non-coding RNA from Epinephelus moara (kelp grouper), 2449 nucleotides. RefSeq lists it as uncharacterized. Lineage: Eukaryota; Metazoa; Chordata; Actinopteri; Perciformes; Serranidae. The record is from RefSeq and is a predicted model, not a curated record. The transcript is spliced from 3 exons.
CUUGUUCAUCAGGCUGCUGAUUUAUAGAAAUGGUCGAGACUUUGACUUUACGCCUGCGCCUGAAAAGGCACAAGAUUUACUUCUAAUCUUAGCGAGAAGAAUGCUUAACCUUGUUUAGUUCACGAUCUGAGCUGACACUGUGCGACGCUGUGUUGGGCUAUAAUCAGGCUGAUAUCAUGUAGUCUGAACCCGGCAUAAGAGAAGUCAGGUUUCAGGGCAAGUUAAACAGUGCGUGUCCUGCUUCAUGUAAAACACAGCUACAGAGGCUUCUCCACCCUGACGAGGAACAGAUUUCUGAAACUGAAUACUUCUUGUGUUGUUCAUCUUUAAAGAUACUGAAAAUUGUGCAAACCAUUGCCAGUCAGCAGCUGUAUCAGACGCCUGUCUGAACAUGUUGUUGUUGCUAAGGCACGACCAGAACAGCUGAUUUGUAAAUGGUUUGUAAGGCAGAGGACAACUGAACCUGCCCCCCGUCUGGUGUGCUGUUUUAGAGAGCGGUCCGGAAAACGGAAGUCGCCAUCUUGUUUACUGCGGUGUGGACACGCUACGUUUCCCGAUGUUUAUGGACUGUUUUGGAAGAUGCUGACAGAUAAACAGGCUGUGUCUCAUGAUAGCCUUGAGAGAAACCCGUUGGAUGUCAUGUAGUUAACGUUCCGCCGUUAACACUGUUUGUGCUCCGGAACAGAUGCACACAAUAAAGACCCCCAAAAGAUAUUUCUGUGUCCUGUGCUGAUCCAACUCCGCCAGGCUACAGAUAUAUAUUGUGAAAUGGUUUCACUGGUCCAGCCCACUUGAAGUCAGACUGAGCUGUCUGUGGCCCCUGAACUGAGCUGGACAGACGACUUCCCUGUCGUAUAUCUGUACUGCUCCUCGGCUGGUGUUUCUAAGGUGUGAUGGUGAAGGCGGGGGCCCAUCGAUACUCACCUGCUUGUAGUCGGAGCGAAACAUUGAGAGCAGUCUGGAUGAUGCACAGCAGGCCAAAGCUGACUCCCACCAACCACAAGACUUUUGACCCUCCUGCAGGAAGAUACACACACACACACACACACACACCAUAACUUUAUUAUUACUUUGAGGAAGUGGUUUUUGUCGCGCAUCAUUAGAUUCAGUUAAUUCCUUUUAAUAAACUUCAGCUUUAUGAAGCACCUUCAGUUUACAACAAUCACAUCAUAUUUUAGCACGUCCUCCACGACUCUGUGUUUUAUGUCUGAGAAUAAUAACCAAUGAUGAUGUUCAGCAGAAGAACAAAGAGGAAGUGGUUAUAAAUACAGGUUUCUAUGGAAAUGACCAAAACUAUCACUGACGUCACAGUUAUUAGGAAUAAACUAACAAACCUUACGUGUGAUUAUUUUUAUACAGAGCAUGUAAAGUCCUGAAAGGUGACACUUUUUAUCCUGCGUGCACAAGAUGUUUAACAUGUCGGAAAAAAACAAAACACUUUUCAUGAGCUGAGUGGGUGGUGAGGUCGUUGCAGCUUCCAAAUAAGUUCAACAAUAUCUGCCCACAGACGCCAUAACAGGAGAUAUGAUGAACUCACUGUCUGUGGUUUAACUGUACUCACUGUUUGAUGAUCAGGGUGCUGUGGUUGGUUUAAGAGUCAACUGAUUUGCAGGAUGAUGCAAUCAACUAUUUGUCUUGAUUGUUGCAUUUACAAAAUAAAAAAACAAAAAUCUCCAAAUAAACAGGCCCUCACAAAUCAAAGUUAAAUGAACGGGGUUUUAAAGGACUUCAUCAAACAAUAAAAACCAAGAUCAACCAAACACACGGCGGGUAAAGACUGUAACCCUGUGGUGUCUUCACGCUCCUCGCUCACUUCAGCACACCUGCCUUCAGUUAAAGGUUCCUGAGAGGCCAGGUGGUCAGGUGACGCAUUAAAGAGACUCAAAAGAAACUAGGACUUGCUAGAAAUGGCUCUGACAAAGGAAAUGACUUGUUUGCACAUAAAGAUAAAAAAUGUCACCUUUCUGGACUUUAGGGGUUCCGUACUUUUAUUUUGCUGCAUCUCGUCUUUAAAUUUUUACAGUGAACAUUUGAAAGGAGCCACUGUUACUAUAAAUAUAAAAGUACUGUUACCACACUGUGAAAAUAUUCCAGCAAAAUGUACUUGAAGAGUCCAACAAACCCUGGACACCCAGGCCGUCCCGGAGCGUCAACAAGGAUAACUAGAGCGUAAUAUUUGUAAUAUUUUGGUCAUAUGUGACGAGUUGGGAUGAGAACGUGUCGGUACAGAUGUGGUGUAUUUUAACUCCUUUAUACACUGCUUGGUAGUUUAAUCUGCAGCGAUGCAUCAUGGUCCAUGAGAUCAUCAUAUGUUUGUGGCGUGGCUGUCCUGUGAGAACCACGUAUCUCUAAACUGUCAGAAAAACAGCUUGUUUGUGACGACGACUGUUCAGCUGAUCCAGGAGGGUUUUUUUAUAAUGGUAUUUUAGCGAGUGUCCUUUUUUAUGUG